UGGGGUGAGGUUGAGAUGAGCCAACGUGCGGUCAUAAAGGCAAAAAACAUGAACAAACAUCAUGUCUUACAGAAUAUUAGACAUCUGAGAAGCAAAAUAUACAUGAAAAACAUUAUCUCAUUGGGGAGCCUGGGGUAAAAUGGGUAGAGCAGCAGAAAUUCCGCGAGAGAUGCUGAGGGCACUCGGCCCCAGAG
Molecule: long non-coding RNA, 194 nt
Organism: Callorhinchus milii (elephant shark)
Lineage: Eukaryota; Metazoa; Chordata; Chondrichthyes; Chimaeriformes; Callorhinchidae
Exons: 3
Source: RefSeq, a predicted model, not a curated record